GCUCAGUUGGUAGAGCUGGUAGAGCAUGGUGUUUGCAACGCCAGGGUUGUGGGUUCGAUUCCCAC
Molecule: transfer RNA, 65 nt
Filed under: Salmo salar (Atlantic salmon)
Lineage: Eukaryota; Metazoa; Chordata; Actinopteri; Salmoniformes; Salmonidae
Also listed under: 1 other name
Rfam family: tRNA
About the family: Transfer RNA (tRNA) molecules are approximately 80 nucleotides in length. Their secondary structure includes four short double-helical elements and three loops (D, anti-codon, and T loops).
Source: Rfam by way of RNAcentral